UAAGAAGGCAAGAGAUUUGCAGGAGACCUUCAACAGAUGGGUGAAUGAGCUCGAACGACACGGUCUCAGAGUCAGUCGCACAAAAACAGAGUACAUGGAAUGCGACUUCGGUGGUGAAGAAGAAACAUCUUGCAAUAUCUCAAUUGAUAACACAACAUUACCUCGAGUCACACAUUUUAAGUACCUUGGUUCUAUGCUUACGACUGAUGCUCGCGUGGACGCAGAUGUCAGUCACAGAGUUAACACCGCCUGGAUGAAGUGGCGAUCGCUAACUGGAGUACUCUGUGACACCCGUAUGCCAGAAAGCAGGCUUAGAUGGUACGGCCACAUCAUGAGACGAGAUGACCAUUUCCCAGUUAAAUCCGUCCUAAAUAUCCCCACUAAAUCCUUGGGAAGAGGAAGACCUCCCGACACAUGGUGGUCCAAUAUCAAGCGGGAGAUGAAAGCCCAGAACCUUACCCCUAUGACAACCCAGGAUAGAGCGUCCUGGCGCCGCCGUACAAGGAGGCCCGACCCCAGAUAGAACUGGGACUAAGG
This is a long non-coding RNA of Cydia strobilella, 537 nucleotides long. RefSeq lists it as uncharacterized. The record is from RefSeq and is a predicted model, not a curated record. Lineage: Eukaryota; Metazoa; Arthropoda; Insecta; Lepidoptera; Tortricidae. The transcript is spliced from 2 exons.